RNAcentral lists this ribosomal RNA (2916 nucleotides) under Acinetobacter pittii. RNAcentral describes it as "23S ribosomal RNA". The stretch from base 1 to 2482 matches the Rfam family "Bacterial large subunit ribosomal RNA", at positions 458 to 2925 of the family's 2925-position model. The record is from RNAcentral. Lineage: Bacteria; Pseudomonadati; Pseudomonadota; Gammaproteobacteria; Moraxellales; Moraxellaceae.
CUCCAAGGCUAAAUACUCCUGACUGACCGAUAGUGAACCAGUACCGUGAGGGAAAGGCGAAAAGAACCCCUGUGAGGGGAGUGAAAUAGAUCCUGAAACCGCAUGCAUACAAGCAGUGGGAGCACCUUCGUGGUGUGACUGCGUACCUUUUGUAUAAUGGGUCAGCGACUUAUAUUCAGUAGCAAGGUUAACCGUAUAGGGGAGCCGUAGGGAAACCGAGUCUUAAUAGGGCGUUUAGUUGCUGGGUAUAGACCCGAAACCAGGCGAUCUAUCCAUGAGCAGGUUGAAGGUUGGGUAACACUAACUGGAGGACCGAACCCACUGUCGUUGAAAAGCCAGGGGAUGACUUGUGGAUAGGGGUGAAAGGCUAAUCAAGCCUGGUGAUAGCUGGUUCUCCCCGAAAGCUAUUUAGGUAGCGCCUCGGACGAAUACCAUAGGGGGUAGAGCACUGUUUCGGCUAGGGGGUCAUCCCGACUUACCAAACCGAUGCAAACUCCGAAUACCUAUGAGUACUAUCCGGGAGACAGACUGCGGGUGCUAACGUCCGUAGUCAAGAGGAAAACAAUCCAGACCGCCAGCUAAGGCCCCAAAAUCAUAGUUAAGUGGGAAACGAUGUGGGAAGGCAUAGACAGCUAGGAGGUUGGCUUAGAAGCAGCCACCCUUUAAAGAAAGCGUAAUAGCUCACUAGUCGAGUCGGCCUGCGCGGAAGAUGUAACGGGGCUAAAACUAUGUGCCGAAGCUGCGGAUUUGACAUUAGUCAAGUGGUAGGGGAGCGUUCUGUAAGCCGAUGAAGGUGUAUUGAGAAGUAUGCUGGAGGUAUCAGAAGUGCGAAUGCUGACGUGAGUAACGACAAAACGGGUGAAAAACCCGUUCGCCGAAAGACCAAGGGUUCCAGUCCAACGUUAAUCGGGGCUGGGUGAGUCGACCCCUAAGGCGAGGCCGAAAGGCGUAGUCGAUGGGAAAUUGGUUAAUAUUCCAAUACUUCUGUGUAAUGCGAUGAGAGGACGGAGAAGGUUAAGUCAGCCUGGCGUUGGUUGUCCAGGUGGAAGGAUGUAGGUAUGUAUCUUAGGCAAAUCCGGGGUACUCUAUACUGAGAUCCGAUAGCAAGCUGUACUUGUACAGUGAAGUGGCUGAUACCAUGCUUCCAGGAAAAGUCUCUAAGCUUCAGUUACACAGGAAUCGUACCCGAAACCGACACAGGUGGUCAGGUCGAGUAGACCAAGGCGCUUGAGAGAACUCUGCUGAAGGAACUAGGCAAAAUGGUACCGUAACUUCGGGAGAAGGUACGCUGUUGUUGGUGAUGGAACUUGCUUCCUGAGCUGACGACAGCCGCAGAAACCAGGCCGCUGCAACUGUUUAUUAAAAACAUAGCACUCUGCAAACACGAAAGUGGACGUAUAGGGUGUGAUGCCUGCCCGGUGCUGGAAGGUUAAUUGAUGGGGUUAGCGUAAGCGAAGCUCUUGAUCGAAGCCCCAGUAAACGGCGGCCGUAACUAUAACGGUCCUAAGGUAGCGAAAUUCCUUGUCGGGUAAGUUCCGACCUGCACGAAUGGCAUAAUGAUGGCGGCGCUGUCUCCAGCAGAGGCUCAGUGAAAUCGAAAUCGCUGUGAAGAUGCAGUGUACCCGCGGCUAGACGGAAAGACCCCGUGAACCUUUACUGCAGCUUGACACUGAACUUUGACCUUACUUGUGUAGGAUAGGUGGGAGGCUUUGAAGUUGGAACGCUAGUUCCAAUGGAGCCGUCCUUGAAAUACCACCCUGGUAAUGUUGAGGUUCUAACUCUGUCCCGUUAUCCGGGACGAGGACCGUGUCUGGUGGGUAGUUUGACUGGGGCGGUCUCCUCCUAAAGAGUAACGGAGGAGUACGAAGGUGCGCUCAGCGUGGUCGGAAAUCACGCGUAGAGUAUAAAGGCAAAAGCGCGCUUAACUGCGAGACCCACAAGUCGAGCAGGUACGAAAGUAGGUCUUAGUGAUCCGGUGGUUCUGUAUGGAAGGGCCAUCGCUCAACGGAUAAAAGGUACUCUGGGGAUAACAGGCUGAUACCGCCCAAGAGUUCAUAUCGACGGCGGUGUUUGGCACCUCGAUGUCGGCUCAUCUCAUCCUGGGGCUGAAGCAGGUCCCAAGGGUAUGGCUGUUCGCCAUUUAAAGAGGUACGCGAGCUGGGUUUAGAACGUCGUGAGACAGUUCGGUCCCUAUCUACCGUGGGCGCUGGAAAUUUGAGAGGAUCUGCUCCUAGUACGAGAGGACCAGAGUGGACGAACCUCUGGUGUACCGGUUGUGACGCCAGUCGCAUCGCCGGGUAGCUAUGUUCGGAAGGGAUAACCGCUGAAAGCAUCUAAGCGGGAAGCCUACCUCAAGAUAAGAUUUCCCUAGGAAUUUAUUCCUCUAAAGAGCCGUUCGAGACUAGGACGUUGAUAGGUUGGAUGUGGAAGCAUAGUGAUAUGUGAAGCUGACCAAUACUAAUUGCUCGUGAGGCUUGACUAUACAACACCCAAGCAGUUGGUUGUAUAGUCAAGUAAUUAAGUGCAUGUGGUGGAUGCCUUGGCAGUCAGAGGCGAUGAAAGACGUGAUAGCCUGCGAAAAGCUCCGGGGAGGCGGCAAAUAUCCUUUGAUCCGGAGAUUUCUGAAUGGGGGAACCCACCUACUUUAAGGUAGGUAUUGCAACAUGAAUACAUAGUGUUGCAAGGCGAACGAGGGGAAGUGAAACAUCUCAGUACCCUUAGGAAAAGAAAUCAAUUGAGAUUCCCUUAGUAGCGGCGAGCGAACGGGGAUCAGCCCAUUAAGUUAUGUGUGUUUUAGUGGAACGCUCUGGGAAGUGCGAACGUAGAGGGUGAUAUUCCCGUACACGAAAGGGCACACAUAAUGAUGACGAGUAGGGCGAGGCACGUGAAACCUUGUCUGAAUAUGGGGGGACCAUC